UACCAGCACCCCGAGUGGUCGGGACGUUUAUUGGGCCUAAAGCAUCCGUAGCCGGUUCUACAAGUCUUUCGUUAAAUCCAACUGCUUAACAGGUGGGCUGCGGAAGAUACUAUAGAGCUAGGAGGCGGGAGAGGCAAGCGGUACUCGAUGGGUAGGGGUAAAAUCCGUUGAUCCAUUGAAGACCACCAGUGGCGAAGGCGGCUUGCCAGAACGCGCUCGACGGUGAGGGAUGAAAGCUGGGGGAGCAAACCGG
This 253-nucleotide ribosomal RNA is filed under the name uncultured bacterium. RNAcentral's name for it is "partial 16S ribosomal RNA". It matches the Rfam family "Archaeal small subunit ribosomal RNA", at positions 474 to 727 of the family's 1478-position model. The record is from RNAcentral.